GGCGUUGACGGGUAGCCGGCCUGAGAGGGUGACCGGCCACAUUGGGACUGAGAUACGGCCCAGACUCCUACGGGAGGGCAGCAGUGGGGAAUAUUGCACAAUGGGCGCAAGCCUGAUGCAGCGACGCCGCGUGCGGGAUGGAGGCCUUCGGGUUGUAAACCGCUUUUGUUCAAGGGCAAGGCACGGUUUCGGCCGUGUUGAGUGGAUUGUUCGAAUAAGCACCGGCUAACUACGUGCCAGCAGCCGCGGUAAUACGUAGGGUGCGAGCGUUAUCCGGAUUUAUUGGGCGUAAAGGGCUCGUAGGCGGUUCGUCGCGUCCGGUGUGAAAGUCCAUCGCCUAACGGUGGAUCUGCGCCGGGUACGGGCGGGCUGGAGUGCGGUAGGGGAGACUGGAAUUCCCGGUGUAACGGUGGAAUGUGUAGAUAUCGGGAAGAACACCAAUGGCGAAGGCAGGUCUCUGGGCCGUCACUGACGCUGAAGGAGCGAAAGCGUGGGGAGCGAACAGGAUUAGAUACCCUGGUAGUCCACGCCGUAAACGGUGGAUGCUGGAUGUGGGGCCCUUUCCACGGGUCCCGUGUCGGAGCCAACGCGUUAAGCAUCCCGCCUGGGGAGUACGGCCGCAAGGCUAAAACUCAAAGAAAUUGACGGGGGCCCGCACAAGCGGCGGAGCAUGCGGAUUAAUUCGAUGCAACGCGAAGAACCUUACCUGGGCUUGACAUGUGCCGGAUCGCCGUGGAGACACGGUUUCCCUUCGGGGCCGGUUCACAGGUGGUGCAUGGUCGUCGUCAGCUCGUGUCGUGAGAUGUUGGGUUAAGUCCCGCAACGAGCGCAACCCUCGCCGCAUGUUGCCAGCGGGUGAUGCCGGGAACUCAUGUGGGACCGCCGGGGUCAACUCGGAGGAAGGUGGGGAUGACGUCAGAUCAUCAUGCCCCUUACGUCCAGGGCUUCACGCAUGCUACAAUGGCCGGUACAACGCGGUGCGACACGGUGACGUGGGGCGGAUCGCUGAAAACCGGUCUCAGUUCGGAUCGCAGUCUGCAACUCGACUGCGUGAA
This 1055-nucleotide ribosomal RNA is filed under the name Bifidobacterium animalis subsp. lactis. RNAcentral describes it as "bacterial SSU rRNA". It matches the Rfam family "Bacterial small subunit ribosomal RNA", at positions 272 to 1324 of the family's 1533-position model. The record is from RNAcentral. Lineage: Bacteria; Bacillati; Actinomycetota; Actinomycetes; Bifidobacteriales; Bifidobacteriaceae.